RNAcentral lists this ribosomal RNA (421 nucleotides) under Flabellum deludens. Its description in RNAcentral is "partial 16S ribosomal RNA". It matches the Rfam family "Bacterial large subunit ribosomal RNA", at positions 2004 to 2454 of the family's 2925-position model. Lineage: Eukaryota; Metazoa; Cnidaria; Anthozoa; Scleractinia; Flabellidae. The record is from RNAcentral.
CCGAGGGUCUCACUGUCUUAAGGAAAUUUCCAGUGAAAUUGAAUUUGUAGUGAAGAUGCUACAUCCAAAUUGUUAGACAAGAAGUCCCCAUGGAACUUUACUGGAGACUUAUGUGGCUUAAAUUAAUUUAUUUCUUACAAAUAAAUAGUUUUAAAAUGUGGUGUUAACCCCUCGGAUUAACUAGGGUUAUAAAAGCUCACUCUUUUAUUUAAAGAAAGCCAACUCAAAAAGUUAUGUCUUUGGGAUUUGAUAAGUGGGACAGUUUGGUUGGGGCGACCGCCUUUAAAAAAGUAAACGAAGGCGGGCUUAAGAUACAUAUUUAGUGAUGUCUGACUGCCAAGGGGAGAUCCUGAGCAGACACUUACUUUUUAGGUGGGUUUAAGUGACCCGUUGAUUAGGGUGAAAUAGUUAACGAUAAACA